Molecule: long non-coding RNA, 6001 nt
Organism: Physeter macrocephalus (sperm whale)
Lineage: Eukaryota; Metazoa; Chordata; Mammalia; Artiodactyla; Physeteridae
Exons: 9
Source: RefSeq, a predicted model, not a curated record
AUGGAGCCCAGCUCCAGCAAUAACCACUGGCUGGGAUGAGGGAUCCAGAGACAGCACAGGGGAGGGAGAGGGUCUGCAAGGUGCAGUCCUGGGCCCAGCUCCUGUGCCUGCACCUGGGACAGGACACCUGGCGACAAGGAAAAUCAGUCGCUGUCAGUCACCUGUGGCCACACCCAUCCCCACAGCCCCGUGUGUGACACCUGCGACCCUCACUUUGGGGAGGUGUCGCCAAGCAGAGGAGAAGAGCCCACAGCCCUGCCUUCCCCAGGGACCUCAGCCCUGUCUGCGGAGGGAGCUGUGAGCUCUCGCAACCCAGGGGUGGACUUGACCCUCGAGCUUGAAGAGGAUUUUUCAUAUUGGAAGCCUUGUCCUUAGAAGUGGGGAGAGACUGAAGAACUCCUUUUCUGUUAUUUCUUAUUAUUGCUAACCAACAUAUAAUCGUUCUCCCCACUUUCUAAGGACUCAGAUUGUUUUCUAUCCAUAAUGGCCCUUUUCUCCUUUCUUUUCAAUCAGUUUUUGCAGGGGUUAAGUGGAAGAAAUAGUCCUACUCUAUUUUCUGAUGUUUGAGAGCUGACACCUUAAAGGUCACUCCUCUCUUCUUCCUCUGCCCACUGCUGGGAAAUUUGGUAAGAAGCACAGCUUCUCCCUCCUUCGAUGCAGGUGGGAGAUCAAAACCACAUGAGCCGUGCCUGUGAGCACAACACUUAACCCUCCCACACCCAGGAACCACAUUAAAAACCCUAAUCCGUCUCCAUUGCUGGUGCUAUCAAAGCAUUUCUGAUGUUCUUGAGAGGUCUGCCCUGCUCUCAACAGACACCUCAAUAAUGGAGCGAUGGUGCCGGCCGAGCUGUGCCAGAGCAACCAAGGCAAAAGCGUCGUGCACAGAAUGACCGAGAACUUUGACCAGGUGCCGUGGACUCCGCAGAGGCAGUGACCCAGGACUGAGGUCCCCGAGCGUCCUUCUGAGUGUCGUGGCCCCGGUGCCCCUCUCACGGGAGUUGCUGUCAGGCUUGAUGGUUGAAGCAGCCAUGGUAUCGAGAUUUCACUGGUAGAAACUAUUGCUUUUCUUCCCUGGGAGAAGCAGGUCUCCUUCUACUUUGUUGGGGAGACUCCCUUUUUACUAAACAAAAAUGAUAAACUGUAACUACAUAUUAAGGAUUAGGUUAUAUACAUGUAAAGAAUAAUCAUAAAGAUCAAGAAACAGAACAUGAUGAGUGGACACCUAGGAGUGCCCUUCCCUCGUCACAGCCUCCUCCCCACCGUGAGGUAGCUGUUCUCCUGAUUUUGUGUCAGUGACUUGUCCUCAGAGUUUACGCCCAAGGACGCAUCUCUGCACAACGCAGCCCAGCUUUGCCUAGUUCCAAGUCGGAGCGUGCAUGGUUCAUUUCUGCAUCCGCUUGUGAUGGCCUUCAGGUUCUUUCAGGUUUGGCUCCUGUGGCUGCGGAGUCCAUGUCCGUGUGUUCUGAUGCAGGGCCGGUGGGUUUGUGUUCAGCUGGGAGGAGCCCUGCUGGUCUGUGCGCAUGGACUUCGCUCUCUGAGGCCCGAUUGUUUCAGAAGUGGUUGCAUCCCCCCGCUGAGGACCAGGCUUUCCAUUGCCCCACAGCCUGCUGAUAUUUGGUACUAGGUCUUUCACGUCUGCCAUUCUGGUAGGUGUACGCACAGUUCUUUUCUUAUGGUUUUAAUCCCUGGGUUAUUAGUGAAGUUGUGCAUCUUGUUGUAUUCAUGGACUAUUUCCUGUUGUUUUAAAAAAAGUUUUAAAAAUUGUGGUCAAAUACACAUAACAUAAAAUUUACUAUCUUAACCAUUUUUAAGUGCACAUUUCAGGGUCAUGAAGUAAUUCGCACUGUUGUGCAACCCUGACCGCCAACGUCCUCCAGAACUUUCUCAUCUUGCAAAAUGGAAACAGUCCCCAUUAAACACUCACGCCCCACUCUCCCUCCCUCAGCCCCUGGCACCCACCAUCCUGCUUUCUGUCUCUGUGGUUCCGACAGCUCUAGGGGCCUUGUGUGAGUAGAUCAAGCACUGUUUGUUUUCUUGUGCCUGGCUUACAUCACUGAGCGUAAUGCCCUCAAGGCUCAUCCCUGCUGAAGGCUGUGUCAGAAUUGCCUUCCUUUUUAGGCUGAAUAACAUUCCCUUUUAUGGAUGGACCGUGUUUUGCUUCUCCAUUCAUCCGUUAAUGGACACAUGUAAUAUCUACGUUCAUUUCUCAUGUCUUAUAAUAUUUGUGGAAUAAUGUCGGAAAGUCCUAUGAAUCAAAAGUCAUUUGCCAGUAACUUUUUUUUUUCCAUUAACUUUUUUCUUAAACUUUUAAUUGUGAAAAACAUCAAAGCUAAGAAAAAGGGAAAAUACAUGUCAGCUUCACUUGCGUUCAGGAAUUAAUGCUUUACGGAUUCACUUUAUUCCCUGUGUGUGUGCUACGUGUGUGCACUUGCCUCUUUGCGUACAUAUGCUGUGCCUGUGCAUAGGUAUCUGCUCUUGCACACGUUAGUGUGUGCAUGGGUACCUGCGUGCGUGUGUGCUCAUCUGCUAGUGUGUGACUAUAUUUGUGCUGUGCACGUGCGCAUGUUUGUGCGUGUGCUGUGCCUGCCUCUGCGCACACCUGUGUGUUUGCGGGAACCCCUUGCAAGUUGCUUGCAGACUGAAUUGUGCCCCAGAUAUGUCCGCACGCACCUGCUCUAACAAUCCUGCGUAGCCACGUAGAGUUCAGAGAUCUCAGGGAUUGAAAUGGAUGGAGCAGGGUGUCCUGACACAGGGUCUGUCUUCCAAUGACUGUCACUGUCUCAGUAACAUCCUUCACACCUUCUUUAAGCCCCAUUCAGGGUCCAGCUUAGGCCCCAAUUACAUUCAGUCACCUGCCCUGGGUCCCCUAUAAGCUACAAUGUCACAAUGGGAGACCCCGGCCAGGGCCUGGGGUGCCCCUCCUGUUGGCCUGGCCUCCAGGCCCUGCACGUGGCUCCUGUGUUCCCAUCUCUCAGCCAGGCCCCGACUUGGAUGGGGCCGCCACCUCUUUCCUCACAGGGUCCCAUCGCCCAGUCAAGGGGAUGCAUCCUCCCCAAACUCAGCAUCAGGAGUUGGGGUUGUGACCGCCCGCACUGGGUCUCCUUCAUGUGAGACCCUGUGCUUUUGAAAGAGCAGGCGCCCUGCCCUCGGGGGUGGGGGGCUGGGGGGUGGCAUGCGGUCCACGAUGGGCAGGCCGGUCCCCGGGUGGGGUGAGCCAGUGUGCAAGGAAUUCCGCGGUGGGUUCUCCUCUCCAACGGCUUCUGUGCCCCUACCUCUCCCCGUGCCUCCCCUCGAGGACAGCGCGGUGCCCGGGACGGGAGCCAUAAGCCACUGCCCCCUCUACACACACACACACACACACGCGCACACACACACACACGCGCGCACACACACACACACACACACACACACACGCACACGCUGCAGGGAGACAGGACCUGAGUGCAGGGCUCUCAGCGACCCUGAGCGCCCCGCCCGGAAUCGGCCAGCGGAAUGGACAGACAGGCUCUCCCGGCCCGCACCAUGCAGAACUGUCCUGCCUGGGCCUCCUGUGCGGCCGCCUCCUUCUGGAAGCCUGGGAGGCUGGAAUCAGGCCACUUCUUGUCUGGCCUGGCAGCAGACUGGGCUGCACUCUAAGAAGUUCUUGGAUCACACGUGGAUCCUGACCAUCAGGUGGCCAGAGACACUGGAGUAUGGAGAGCUGGGAAGAGAGCUGGCCUGGCCUCAGUACUGGGAAGCUCCGUGCCUGCAUCUGAAGGAGGUCCUAGGAACCCAGCUUGUUUCCACAUUAGGGGAGCCAACAGCAGAGCCAUGGUGUCCUGACCAAGGGGCGGUGUGACCCCCAGGUGCAGGGUCUGGGGAGGUGGAGUCACCUGCUUGUCACAUUCAUAUGAGGUCAUGCAUGUUUGAGUGGGUUGCUGCUCUGUGUUCUGAUUCUUACCAGUCGGAUAUAUUCUUUUCUGGUGACUAGAGUGUGCCCAGUCCAGUUCUUUGAGCUACGGAAAUGAUCAUACCUAAGUCUACCUGAGUUGCUGCAACUGGCCUUAUUUCAUUGAUUUCAUGGGCCCGCACAGAGUCCACCAGGCUGUGGAUGUGGUAGAAGGUACAGAGUUUCGGGGCCCGGUCCAGUCCAUGCAGGUGUCUGACCACCGAGCGGUCAGUGUGGAGUAUUCCCAGGGAGCCCUGGCCAUGCUCGCACCCUUCCGGAAAGGACACGUCAGCGUGGUACCUGCAAUGACCGGGAGGUCAGCCGGCAGCGGCCCCCACCCAACCUCACUGUUACCACAAGAAACAAGAGACAACUCCGUGAGGAAACACAGAACAUCACCAGCCUGAUUCUGUCCUGAGGAAGGUCAGCUGGCAUCUGGGAACUGGGUGCUAUAGUGGGUUGAAUGGGGGGGCCCCCAGAAGUUAUGUCCACAUCAUGCCCCCCAGAAUCUGAGAAUGGAACCUUAUUUGGAAGUAGGCUCUUUGCAGGUAUAAUUAGUUAUGGAUCUGGAGAUGAGGGUGGCCGUAAAUCAGUGACAGUGUCCUUCUAAGAGACAAGAGGAGAGACACAGACACAUAGGAGACAGCAUGUGAAGACGGAGGCAGAGACGGGAGGGAUGCAGCCACAAGCCCAGGGACGCCUGGAGCCCCCAGAAGCUGGAAGAGGCAGGCAGGACCCUCCCCUGGAGCCUCCGGAGGGAGCGCGGCCAUGGCACACCUUGACCUCAGACGUCUGGUCUCCAGGACUGAGAGAGGACAGGUUUCUGUUGCUCUGAGCCUCCGUUUGUGGUCGUUUGUCACAGCUGCCCCGGGAAGCUAAUGCAGCUGGUGAGCAGCCCCCUGCCCUGAUCUAAACCCUCCGGCCUCCCGUUAGGGGCAGCCCCCUGCGCCUGUGCUGUGUGCACAAACCAUGCGGCUCAUGCUGAACCCCGGCUCCCCUUCUGGGCACCGGCAUUUUGGAGGGUGAGGGCAGAGACCACCAAGUGACCAGCCCCCAGCCGGGUGCCAAGCCUCUAGUGAGCUUCCCUGGGGACACGGGGGUGCGGGUAACUGUCGUGGUUCUGUCCUUUGUGGCUGGGGGAAGAGACACCCUAGAGACCCUCGAGGGAAAGAGGGGGCAUGGAGGGUCAGGAGGUGACGGGAGCAGGGGCCCUCCCUCCCUGCAUCGCUACCGCGUGCUGUGACCCAUCUCAGCUGUGAGCACACAAGCCACGAGCAUGUGCUGAGUCCUGGGAGCCUCCCAGCCGGUCCCUGAAGGUGAGGGCGGCCCUGCAGACCCCAGCCCUCUCCUCCACGUCUAGUGGGUGGAAGACCCACUUCUCCUUGCCAUUCCAGAAGCGGUUCUGGAGCUGUUCUGGGAGGGCUUCUGGGGUUAUGCAGCCUGAGACCCUGUUGCUGUCUCCCCACUUCCCCACAGGAACAUCCAGAGCAAGCAGUUUGCCCUGUUGCCUGAAUGCCCCCCCCCCACUUUUCUCAGGAAAGAAUCAGGGGUUUCUGUAGCAGCGUCCGCAGGCAGCUCUGCAUCUGGGCCCACAGUCACAUCUUCUGUGUAAACACCGAGAACCUUCCCUGACACGUGCCCCGGCUGACCACCUCCGCAUGCCAACCACAGGCCCCAGUGCGGGCGUCAGACUGACCUCCAGUCUCAGCCUCCUCCUCUGUUGUCAGAGCUGCUCCAGGCCCUGCUCAGAACCCGUGCACCCACUUUUCACAGGGCUGUCCUCCACCCCCCACCUUCAGCAGGAGUUCACCUAAGUAUUUAAGUUAAGGGGUGCAGAGAUAAGAAAGGAAGCUACAAACAAACAAACAGAUGGGACCAGCUGGGCCAAGAUGGCAACGAAUGUGACCUCCAACAGACCCUGAGUCUCUUCACGUGUUGAAUUUACUAUAUCAGCAUAUUCAGUGACACACCCACCGGUGGCCAUGACUGGACAUGAACGACCAGAAACGGGUAAAAGGAGGUGGUGCCCCACCCCCUUGGAAAAAGCCCUGCCCUUCCUCGGAAGGCCUCUUC